This 292-nucleotide unclassified non-coding RNA is filed under the name fungal sp. RNAcentral's name for it is "partial internal transcribed spacer region". The stretch from base 1 to 46 matches the Rfam family "Eukaryotic small subunit ribosomal RNA", at positions 1786 to 1831 of the family's 1831-position model. The record is from RNAcentral. Lineage: Eukaryota; Fungi.
AAGUCGUAACAAGGUUUCCGUAGGUGAACCUGCGGAAGGAUCAUUAAAGAAUGAAGUUUUUGGGGUUUUAAAUUCCAAAAAAUAAUUCACCAUUUGUGCACUGUUAUUAGAUAUACUUUGGUUAGAGCUUUGGUUUCUUUUUACGAAGUCAACUUCUUGCUGACUCUAUCCUUUUUAAAGGACAGUUGGCUAUGAAGUGGCCUACCAAGGUUUUUUAUCAAAUACAUUUAAUCCAACUGACCUAAAACAAAUAAUUAAAUCAUAACUUUCAACAACGGAUCUCUUGGCUCUC